This 496-nucleotide ribosomal RNA is filed under the name uncultured bacterium. RNAcentral's name for it is "partial 16S ribosomal RNA". It matches the Rfam family "Bacterial small subunit ribosomal RNA", at positions 29 to 507 of the family's 1533-position model. The record is from RNAcentral.
AUGAACGCUGGCGGCGUGCCUAAUCCCUGCAAGUCGAGCGAACAGACGAGGAGCUUGCUCCUCUGACGUUAGCGGCGGACGGGUGAGUAACACGUGGAUAACCUACCUAUAAGACUGGGAUAACUUCGGGAAACCGGAGUUAAUACCGGAUAAUAUAUUGAACCGCAUGGUUCAAUAGUGAAAGACGGUUUUGCUGUCACUUAUAGAUGGAUCCGCGCCGCAUUAGCUAGUUGGUAAGGUAACGGCUUACCAAGGCAACGAUGCGUAGCCGACCUGAGAGGGUGAUCGGCCACACUGGAACUGAGACACGGUCCAGACUCCUACGGGAGGCAGCAGUAGGGAAUCUUCCGCAAUGGGCGAAAGCCUGACGGAGCAACGCCGCGUGAGUGAUGAAGGUCUUCGGAUCGUAAAACUCUGUUAUUAGGGAAGAACAAAUGUGUAAGUAACUAUGCACGUCUUGACGGUACCUAAUCAGAAAGCCACGGCUAACUACGUG